GACGAACGCUGGCGGCGUGCUUAACACAUGCAAGUCGAACGGAAAGGCCCUGCUUUUGUGGGGUGCUCAAGUGGCGAACGGGUGAGUAACACGUGAGUAACCUGCCCUUGACUUUGGGAUAACUUCAGGAAACUGGGGCUAAUACCGGAUAGGAGCUCCUGCUGCAUGGUGGGGGUUGGAAAGUUUCGGCGGUUGGGGAUGGACUCGCGGCUUAUCAGCUUGUUGGUGGGGUAGUGGCUUACCAAGGCUUUGACGGGUAGCCGGCCUGAGAGGGUGACCGGCCACAUUGGGACUGAGAUACGGCCCAGACUCCUACGGGAGGCAGCAGUGGGGAAUAUUGCACAAUGGGCGGAAGCCUGAUGCAGUAACGCCGCGUGCGGGAUGACGGCCUUCGGGUUGUAAACCGCUUUCGCCUGUGACGAAGCGUGAGUGACGGUAAUGGGUAAAGAAGCACCGGCUAACUACGUG
Molecule: ribosomal RNA, 468 nt
Filed under: uncultured bacterium
Lineage: Bacteria
Description: partial 16S ribosomal RNA
Rfam family: Bacterial small subunit ribosomal RNA
Source: RNAcentral